This is a long non-coding RNA of Raphanus sativus (radish), 165 nucleotides long. RefSeq lists it as uncharacterized. The record is from RefSeq and is a predicted model, not a curated record. The transcript is spliced from 3 exons. NCBI's taxonomy places the organism in Eukaryota, Viridiplantae, Streptophyta, Magnoliopsida, Brassicales, Brassicaceae.
UGUGAGGAUCCAUUGAUUCGUUAUUUUGAAAGCCUAUUUGUUUCACAAGUCGAAGAAACAUUCCCUGGUAUAUCCACAACUGACGUAGACAAAAGGAAAGAUCAACACUUUAUAAAAUGGUUGAAGAGUCAGGUUGAUUUUGACGACGAUGCAGAUUAUCCUAAG